GGGGGUGUAGCUCAGUGGUAGAGCGCUUGCCUAGCAUAUGCCAGGGCCUGGGUUCAAUCCCCAGUACCACCA
Ictidomys tridecemlineatus (thirteen-lined ground squirrel) is the source of this 72-nucleotide non-coding RNA. NCBI's taxonomy places the organism in Eukaryota, Metazoa, Chordata, Mammalia, Rodentia, Sciuridae. The record is from Rfam.